This 406-nucleotide ribosomal RNA is filed under the name uncultured bacterium. Its description in RNAcentral is "partial 16S ribosomal RNA". It matches the Rfam family "Bacterial small subunit ribosomal RNA", at positions 30 to 526 of the family's 1533-position model. The record is from RNAcentral.
AUUGAACGCUGGCGGCAGGCUUAACACAUGCAAGUCGAGCGAGCGGCGGACGGGUGAGUAAUGUCUGGGACACUGCCUGAUGGAGGGGGAUAACUACUGGAAACGGUAGCUAAUACCGCAUACCAUCAGAUGUGCCCAGAUGGGAUUCGCUAGUUGGUGGGGUAAUGGCUCACUUAGGCGACGAUCCCUAGCUGGUCUGAGCGGAGGACCAGCCACACAGGAACUGGAACACGUUCCAGACGCCUACGUGAGGCAGUAGUGGGGAAUAUGGCACAAUGGGCGCAAGCCUGAUGCAGCCAUGCCGCGGGUGUGAAGAAGGCUUUCGGGUUUGAAAGCACUUUCAGCGAGGAGGCGUGACUCGCAGAAGAAGCACCGGCUAACUCCGUGCCAGCAGCCGCGGUAAUAC